RNAcentral lists this ribosomal RNA (325 nucleotides) under uncultured eukaryote. RNAcentral's name for it is "partial 18S ribosomal RNA". It matches the Rfam family "Eukaryotic small subunit ribosomal RNA", at positions 1470 to 1796 of the family's 1831-position model. The record is from RNAcentral.
CCCUUAGAUGUUCUGGGCCGCACGCGCGCUACACUGUUUGAUUCAGCGAGUCUUAACCUUGACCGAAAGGUUUGGGUAAUCUUCUAAAGUCAAACGUGAUGGGGAUCGAUCAUUGCAAUUAUUGAUCGUGAACGAGGAAUUCCUAGUAAAUGCAAGUCAUCAGCUUGCGUUGAUUACGUCCCUGCCCUUUGUACACACCGCCCGUCGCACCUACCGAUUGAAUGGUUCGGUGAAGAUCUCGGACUUCGAUAUUUAUUCUUUAUUGAGUUUAUAUUGUGGGAAGUUAUCUAAACCUCAUCAUUUAGAGGAAGGUGAAGUCGUAACA